Molecule: transfer RNA, 87 nt
Filed under: Clostridium sp.
Lineage: Bacteria; Bacillati; Bacillota; Clostridia; Eubacteriales; Clostridiaceae
Also listed under: 8 other names
Description: tRNA-Ser
Rfam family: tRNA
About the family: Transfer RNA (tRNA) molecules are approximately 80 nucleotides in length.
Source: RNAcentral
GGAGAGUUGUCCGAGUGGUCGAAGGUGCAGCACUCGAAAUGCUGUGUACGUAAUGUACCUAGGGUUCGAAUCCCUAACUCUCCGCCA